GCAUCCAUGGCUGAACGGUUAAAGCACCCAACUCAUAAUUGGCGAAUUCACAGGUUCAACUCCUGUUGGAUGCA
This 74-nucleotide transfer RNA is filed under the name Anthoceros punctatus. Its description in RNAcentral is "tRNA-Ile". It matches the Rfam family "tRNA". Rfam says of the family: Transfer RNA (tRNA) molecules are approximately 80 nucleotides in length. Their secondary structure includes four short double-helical elements and three loops (D, anti-codon, and T loops). Further hydrogen bonds mediate the characteristic L-shaped molecular structure. tRNAs have two regions of fundamental functional importance: the anti-codon, which is responsible for specific mRNA codon recognition, and the 3' end, to which the tRNAs corresponding amino acid is attached (by aminoacyl-tRNA synthetases). tRNAs cope with the degeneracy of the genetic code in two manners: having more than one tRNA (with a specific anti-codon) for a particular amino acid; and 'wobble' base-pairing, i.e. permitting non-standard base-pairing at the 3rd anti-codon position. Lineage: Eukaryota; Viridiplantae; Streptophyta; Anthocerotopsida; Anthocerotales; Anthocerotaceae. RNAcentral also lists the same sequence under 115 other names. The record is from RNAcentral.